RNAcentral lists this long non-coding RNA (351 nucleotides) under Musa acuminata (dwarf banana). RNAcentral's name for it is "long non-coding RNA (MACU_LNC006270)". Lineage: Eukaryota; Viridiplantae; Streptophyta; Magnoliopsida; Zingiberales; Musaceae. The record is from RNAcentral.
GGAGGCCGAUGCAGGGGAGAAGAAGGAUCCCCCGGCGAUGCGGUCGAGGUCGGCCUUGGAGAGGUGGAAUCCAGCAGCGAGGGAGGCGGCGGCGGGAGGCGGGGGCGCGUCGGCGUCGUCCGGGGGGAGGAGCGGCACGGCGGCGGUGUGGCGGGAGGGGUGCUUGUCGAGGCGGACGGUGGCGAAGCAGGGGUGGGCGGAGGGGUGGACGCCAGAUCCGCCAGCGGGGCGGGCGGCGACGGGGCCUUUGAGGGCGAGAUUCCCGACGAGGACACGGACGAAGGGGCAGGGAUCCAUGGCGUUACGACUGGGCCUCAGCGCUCGCAGCUGCUCUUUAUAGCCCGACUCCUG